CAGCAGCCGCGGUAAUACGAAGGGGGCUAGCGUUGCUCGGAAUCACUGGGCGUAAAGGGCUCGCAGGCGGUUUCUUAAGUCUGAUGUGAAAGCCCCCGGCUCAACCGGGGAGGGUCAUUGGAAACUGGGAAACUUGAGUGCAGAAGAGGAGAGUGGAAUUCCACGUGUAGCGGUGAAAUGCGUAGAGAUGUGGAGGAACACCAGUGGCGAAGGCGACUCUCUGGUCUGUAACUGACGCUGAGGAGCGAAAGCGUGGGGAGCGAACAGGAUUAGAUACCCGUGUAGUCCCUGUCUCUUAUAC
This 301-nucleotide ribosomal RNA is filed under the name uncultured bacterium. Its description in RNAcentral is "partial 16S ribosomal RNA". It matches the Rfam family "Bacterial small subunit ribosomal RNA", at positions 509 to 807 of the family's 1533-position model. The record is from RNAcentral.